This 220-nucleotide ribosomal RNA is filed under the name uncultured bacterium. RNAcentral describes it as "partial 16S ribosomal RNA". It matches the Rfam family "Bacterial small subunit ribosomal RNA", at positions 57 to 305 of the family's 1533-position model. The record is from RNAcentral.
GCAAGUCGAGCGCACCCUUCGGGGCGAGCGGCGGACUGGAUAGUAACGCGUGGGAACAUACCCUUUUCUACGGAAUAGCCUCGGGAAACUGAGAGUAAUACCGUAUACGCCCUUCGGGGGAAAGAUUUAUCGGACAAGGAUUGGCCCGCGUUAGAUUAGAUAGUUGGUAGGGUAAUGGCCUACCAAGUCUACGAUCUAUAGCUGGUUUUAGAGGAUGAUC